GCUUCAGUCAUUCAAAAAUUGAAAUAAGAUAGCAAAUACAUAUUUUUAAAUAUUUUACUGGAAAUAAAACAAACAGUGGCUCUCCUCUGGCAAACCUCUGAAUAGCUUCAGUAGACGAAUAGGGUCCCAAUCCAACAAAGCACAUGUAAGCACACCAGUAAUUACAUUAAUUUCAUCCAGUUCAUGUGCUGAAAGUUACGUCUGUAUUUAGGGCAUUGCUGGACUGGGGCCUAACCUGAGCUAUGCGAAGCCUUUCGAGAGGGAGAGGCGGGAGGAGGGGUUUGGUGUUAGCAGCCCCUUCAAAUCACCGGAAUGCUCCUGUGCUGGACGGCGCUGGCCACCUCCGAGGGCUCUUUUCGGUUCUUACAGUAGCAUUAAUAGCCCUUGUGACAGCCCCCCGUGACCCCGCCGAUGCUGGUGUGCCAAAAAACUCGCUUUCAGGGCCCGGAGCGCUCCCGGGAGCCUGGAAGGGGCCGCCGCCCCGACUCACCGGGCGCAGGAGGGCGAGGGCCGGGCCCGCGGCCUCUUCCCUGCCCUAGGACUCGGCGCCGCCCCGGCCUCGCUGCCUCUCGGGGCCGAGGGGGAGCCGAGGGACCCCGGCGGGGCUCGGCGGCGGCGCAGGUUUCAAGGAAUGCUCAAUCUUUUCACGUACCAUGGUGGUCUGUGGAAUCAGCAGCUCAACCGGUUUCUAUUUGCUGUGCCUCAGGUUGAUAACACUUGCUGGAAGAGUGCUCUUAUUUGUGAGAUAAAGCCACGUUCUAGAACUGAUGUUUUCAUGAAAAGCAGUGGAGCUGUUGCUCUGGGUAGGAGUGUGACCAUGGUAGACUUGUCAAUAGCCAAGUUUGAGAAUGUGAGUAACAUUGUAAUAAUGAUUUAAAAAAAUAUUUUUAAUGGUGGCAGUUGAAUCCUUGUGUAACAGCGCUACAGAAACAGUUGAUUGAGAGCUGAUGAGCGAGGAAAAGUUCAGUCACUUAAGUAAACCAUGUUGGUUUUAAUGGAGACACGUACUUCAGAGAAUGGAUGCUAGAAACACAAGGCAUGUAGGAGAUGGGAGUUUAAAGAAAUGAAAUACUGACAGUUUGGAACCAUCAGAAAUGUGAAAAUGCCACUGUGGUUUUUGCACUUCUUUUACUAAGGUCUUAUAUUUGUUACAAUAUAGAUAAUUUCAGCGCUGUUUAUUUUCUACCUGCAGUAGAUCAACAAGAUACAAAAGCCUGUGUCCUGUCUUAAAUUUCCAUAGCUUUCCUUUUGAAUUAGGUAUCCAUAGUAGGAAAAUCUUACUUCCAAAAUGUAGAAAAGUCCAUUUUUAAAAUAUGGGCUUGACCCUUUACAUUUACAGUGUUGUGCAUUUUAUUCUCUGUAUUGUGUGCGUGUGUGAUAAAAUAAAGACAUUACCUUUAUUUGACA
This 1407-nucleotide long non-coding RNA is filed under the name Calidris pugnax (ruff). Its description in RNAcentral is "lncRNA (ENSCPUG00000013238.1)". Lineage: Eukaryota; Metazoa; Chordata; Aves; Charadriiformes; Scolopacidae. The record is from RNAcentral.